Molecule: long non-coding RNA, 631 nt
Filed under: Gallus gallus (chicken)
Lineage: Eukaryota; Metazoa; Chordata; Aves; Galliformes; Phasianidae
Description: long non-coding RNA NONGGAT007825
Source: RNAcentral
GAUCAGGCCUGUGCCGGUGGUGCCAUCGCUCGGGUUGUCUCGGGGAGGAGGCUGGGGAGCAGCCCCUAUGGUGCAAAAUAUGAUUCCAAAGUCAUGGAGAGCCAUGAAAUUCUACUUCACUACUGUUUACCAAGAAAUAUGGGUUGGUCUAGCAUUAACAGCGUAUGCCUAUUACAAAAUUUCGUACGGUGUAGGGAUCUUGAUGGCUAUAAAUUCUAAAUGCACGAGUCUUGGUUGAUGGAAGCAGUUAAAAAUCAAUAUAAUACUUACAGAAAUGUACCAUGAAAAGUGCAUCAUGUACAUUCAUUGAAGUUUGUUCAUGCUCAGUCAGCAAAUACUUGUUUUUCUUUCUCUCUAGGCAAAAAAGCAGUGGCGGAUAGUAAGUAUUAACUAUUACUUGUAUUAUUUUAAAUUAGUGCACUAAACAGAGCAUAUUUUACAUAAGCUUGGGUUUUAUUUAACCAAUUUAGUAGGUGUUUAAAGGCUGCCUCAAAGUAUGCAGUUUUAGUUGUUUGGAUGGUUUUGUAACCUAAAAGCAUUUGUGAAUCUGCCCAGAUGCUGCCUCCAUUUUCAAUUUUACUUUGCAUAGCUUUUAGGAGCAAAGUGGAAGUUGUAUGUCUUAAUAGGAUGG